CCUACGGGAGGCAGCAGUGGGGAAUAUUGCGCAAUGGGCGAAAGCCUGACGCAGCGACGCCGCGUGAGGGAUGAAGGUCUUCGGAUCGUAAACCUCUGUCAGCAGGGAAGAACGGUCACUGUGCUAAUCAGCAGUGAAUUGACGGUACCUGCAAAGGAAGCACCGGCUAACUCCGUGCCAGCCGCCGCGGUAAUACGGAGGGUGCGAGCGUUAAUCGGAAUUACUGGGCGUAAAGCGCUCGUAGGCGGUAUGUCAAGUCAAGGGUGAAAUCCCCGCGCUCAACGGGGGAACGGCCUUUGAAACGGGCAAACUGGAGUGUGUGAGAGGAUAGUGGAAUUCCAGGUGGAGGAGUGAAAUCCGUAGAUAUCGGGAGGAACAUCAGUGGCGAAGGCGACUAUCUGGCACAUAACUGACGCUGAGGAGCGAAAGCGUGGGUAGCAAACAGGAUUAGAUACCCUUGUAGUC
This 465-nucleotide ribosomal RNA is filed under the name uncultured bacterium. Its description in RNAcentral is "partial 16S ribosomal RNA". It matches the Rfam family "Bacterial small subunit ribosomal RNA", at positions 338 to 795 of the family's 1533-position model. The record is from RNAcentral.